AUGGCUUCCAUGACCCCCAUCCUCUUGCGCUGCUCCCUGCUACUUCUCCUCCUUGUCCAGUCCACACACUCCUCCGUCACCCCGAAGCCCAAGAACGCCAUUGCCGAGGAGCACAAGCAGCCACAUCAUUCCACCUCGCACACCUACAUCGUCCUCACCAACCACCUCGCCAAGCUGUCCAAGUUCGACACCCUCGACCGCUGGUACGCGUCCAUGCUGGGCAAGAACUCCAACCGCAUCCGCUACACCUACGGCACCGUCAUGCAUGGUUUUUCCGUUCGUCUCACGGCCGGCGAGGCCCAGCGCAUGGCCACCGUCCCCGGCGUGUCCCGCGUGUACAAGGAUAGGCUGUACCACAUCCAUACCACGAGGUCGCCGUGGUUCAUGGGCCUCCACGACGACUUCGGCGCGUGGCCGGACGCCGAGUUCGGCGACGGCAUCGUCAUCGGCUUCGUCGAUGGCGGCAUCUGGCCGGAGCGCGCCAGCUUCAGCGACACCGGGCUCAGCCCCGUCAGGUCCACCUGGAGGGGCAAGUGCGUGGACGCCCCGGGAUUCAACGCCAGCUUGUGCAACAACAAGCUCGUCGGCGCCAAGUCCUUCACCGAUUCGAGUCCGAGGGACAUCGAUGGGCACGGAACGCACGUGGCGUCAACGGCUGCAGGCUCCGAGGUCCCCUCGGCCGAUCUCUUCAAGUUCGCGGGCGGGAGAGCGAGCGGCGUGGCGCGCAAGGCAAGGAUCGCCGUGUACAAGGCGUGCAUUCCCAUGAAAGACGACUGCCCUGACUCGGCCCUUACCGCGGCGAUCGACGCCGCGGUGAGCGACGGCGUGGACCUCAUCUCCAUCUCCAUCGGAGACACCGCGAGACCCUUCCACGACGACCUCCUCGCCGUCGCUACGUUCGGCGCUGAGCGCAGAGGCGUCUUCGUCUCCCUGUACAACAUCCCGUCCUCCCAGGGCGCGGGCAUGAUCCCGCUAGUGGACAGCGACUGCGGCGGCAUCGACAGCGAUGUCAUGGGCAAGGUCGUGGUGUGCUCCCAGGGUGCAGGAGCUUCGGCCGGCUUUAACGUGGAGAGAGCUGGCGGAGCCGGGAUAGUUUCCGCCGAUAGUACGGAACGGUUCUUGGACACGGUAAUGGCCGAACCCUUCAACCUUCCCGGUAUCUUGCUCAUCAGCUCCACCGGCGGCAAGAAGCUGGCCGAUUACAUGUCGUCCGUAGCGUACCCGGUGGCGUCCUUCAACUUCACCUGCGACACGGUCACCGGCGAGAACCGGGCGCCGAUGGUGGCGGGCUUCUCCUCGCGGGGCCCCAACCCGAUUGUCCCCCAGAUCCUCAAGCCGGACGUCAUCGCGCCGGGAGUGAACAUCCUCGCCGCCUGGUCAGGUGCCACCCCGCCAUCUGACUCCGACAUGGACCCGCGGAGAGUCGAGUACAACAUCCAAUCGGGGACGUCGAUGGCGUGCCCGCACGUGGCUGGCGUGGCAGCCCUGAUCAAGAAGCGGCACGGCGACUGGACGCCGGCCAUGAUCCGUUCGGCGCUGGUGACGACCGCCGGCCCGCUCGACAAGAACGGCAGAGACAUCGUGGACAGCGGCAGUGCCGUCGGCGCCGCCGUCAUGGGCGCGACGCCGCUGGCGGCCGGGGCCGGGUUCGUGCUCCCGCGGCUCGCCAUGGACCCGGGUCUGGUGUACGACGCCGGAACGCAGGACUACGUCGACUUCCUCUGCACCCUCAACUACACGGUCGAGCAGAUGCAGCAGUUCGUGCCGGAGUUGAACAAGUGCGCGAGGACGAUCCCCGGGGGCGUGGCCAACCUCAACUACCCGUCGUUCGUGGUGAUGUUCGACAGCCGCAUCCGCGUCCGCACGCUGACGCGGACGGUGACCAUGGUGUCUGCGCGCCCAGAGAGCUACAACGUGACGGUCGCCGCGCCCGACGGGGUGAAGGUAACCGUGACGCCGGCGACGUUGGAGUUCAGGUGGCCGAAGGAGAAGAGGAGCUACAGCGUGCAGUUCAGCAGCGAGGCGGGGGCGAAGGCGAGGCCGGCCGGCACGUGGGAGUUCGGCCACAUCGCCUGGGAGAACAGGAAGCACCGGGUCAGGAGCCCCGUCGCCUUCAAAUGGGACAACUGA
RNAcentral lists this ribosomal RNA (2130 nucleotides) under Triticum aestivum (bread wheat). Its description in RNAcentral is "partial small subunit ribosomal RNA". Lineage: Eukaryota; Viridiplantae; Streptophyta; Magnoliopsida; Poales; Poaceae. The record is from RNAcentral.